Mycena metata is the source of this 82-nucleotide non-coding RNA. The record is from the annotation of a GenBank genome assembly. Lineage: Eukaryota; Fungi; Basidiomycota; Agaricomycetes; Agaricales; Mycenaceae.
AGCAAGAUAGCACAGCGGUUAGUGCGCGGAUUCUUGAAGGGUGCAUUAAUCCGCUACCCUCGUUCGACUCGGGGUCUCGCCU